Molecule: ribosomal RNA, 492 nt
Filed under: uncultured bacterium
Lineage: Bacteria
Description: partial 16S ribosomal RNA
Rfam family: Bacterial small subunit ribosomal RNA
Source: RNAcentral
AGUGAACGCUGGCGGUAGGCCUAACACAUGCAAGUCGAACGGCAGCACAGUAAGAGCUUGCUCUUACGGGUGGCGAGUGGCGGACGGGUGAGGAAUACAUCGGAAUCUACUUUUUCGUGGGGGAUCACGUAGGGAAACUUACGCUAAUACCGCAUACGACCUACGGGUGAAAGCAGGGGAUCUUCGGACCUUGCGCGGUUGAAUGAGCCGAUGUCGGAUUAGCUAGUUGGCGGGGUAAAGGCCCACCAAGGCGACGAUCCGUAGCUGGUCUGAGAGGAUGAUCAGCCACACUGGAGCUGAGACACGGUCCAGACUACUACGGGAGGCAGCAGUGGGGAAUAGUGGACAAUGGGCGCAAGCCUGAUCCAGCCAUACCGCGUGGGUGAAGAAGGCCUUCGGGUUGUAAAGCCCUUUUGUUGGGAAAGAAAAGCAGCAGGUUAAUACCCCGCUGUUCUGACGGUACCCAAAGAAUAAGCACCGGCUAACUUCGUG